Molecule: long non-coding RNA, 2764 nt
Filed under: Hordeum vulgare
Lineage: Eukaryota; Viridiplantae; Streptophyta; Magnoliopsida; Poales; Poaceae
Description: long non-coding RNA (HVUL_LNC021162)
Source: RNAcentral
AGCAAACUAGCACCAUAAUGUGCCUCUACUUUCAUAUGGGUGAAAAGGACACAGACCAUAUGGUCCUCUGCUUUCAUAUGGACAAAAAUAGGUCACCCAACAAAAAAUCAUCAAUAGUUUAGCAAGUCUGUACCCUCAAGAAUGAACAUAUAGAAAUAUCUGUUGUCCCCCCAUAACAUACGGAAAUCAAAAUCAGCUCAACUUAGAUGACUAGCUAACUCAUUUUUCAGAUAGCAUAUGUAAAGGGGCCAACUCAAAAUUGUGAGCCUAGCUAACUCAAUUUUCAGAUAUAAGCUUGCUUGUUUUCCAUUGUACGUGAAGAACUAGCUCCUGUUGCUCCUCUGCCCGUGCUGCUGAUGCUCCUCUUCCGCUGAUCCAAGUGACUGUGUUGUGCUGCUGCUGAUUAGAACAAUUUUGCUCCUCUGCACUCUGAAGAAGGUAACUCCGUCAGAGUACUGUACCUGAAAAUUAAUGAAGUUGAUUUAGUGUUCAAAUUAGGCAUGCGUUAAGUAUGACCUUUUGACAGUGCUAACCUGCAGUAAAUCAUCGGCCAUCAAAAGCAUACACAGAAAACAUCAAGCUAGCACAACACACAAACUACAUACAUGAAACAGGAAGCAAACAAUAAAUGACUGAACCUGGGUAAAUCUAAAGGGAAAGAGCAAAUGAGCAAAAAAACAACGCAUAUUUGUAACUUUCUAUAUACAUCAAUAGCCUAAUCCAUAAGAAAGCUGCACCAAAAAAAUACCCAAAAGAUGGCCGGUCCUACCGAAAAUCUGCAAAGUCAACAAGAAGAGUAAGUUUGGUCACAUUAAUAAGAUGAUCAGCUAAUAAAAAAAUGUUAGACGGGUCACAUCAAGACGGGAUUUGCAAAAGAAUCCAUUGUCGUUUUCAGCCACCUACUCAGGGCAGUCUGCGCCGAGAAGAAGACCAGCUACGCAAUGGACAUCGUACUCCGGGUAAUGCCUGCGUUUGAUUGCGUACCCGACAUUUUCUCUUACACCAUUCUUUUCAAGGGUCUCUGCAGCGAGAAGAGAAGCCAAGAGGCCCUCGAGCUGAUUCACAUGAUGGUUGAGCAUGGAGGUAGCUGCCGACCUGAUGUCGUGUCCUAUAGCACUGUAAUUGAUGGCCUAUUGAAAGACGGUUUGGUGGACAAGGCUUACAGCCUAUAUUGUGAAAUGCUACAGACGGGAAUUUUGCCGAAUGCUGUGACCUAUAACUCAAUCAUUUCUGCCAUGUGCAAGGUUCAUGCGAUGGACAAGGCUAAGGAGGCUGUUCACCAGAUGUCUGAUAGAGGAAUUCUGCCAGAUGUUGCCACAUAUACUAGUCCGAUACAUGGAUACUAUUCAUUAGGAAGGUGCAAAGAGGUUGAUCGUAUUUUCACAGAAAUGUCUAGAAAUGGUGUUCAACCAAAUAUUGUAACUUACAAUAUACAGAUGGAUUAUCUUUGCAAGAACGGAAGAUGCGCAGAAGCUAGGAAGAUUUUUGAUUCUAUGGUCUGUUUGGGCCAAAAGCCAACCGUUACUACCUACGGCAUUCUGCUUCAUGGGUAUGCCAUGGAACGGUCUUUUCAUGAUAUGCAUUGCCUCAUCGAUUUGAUGACAGAAAAUGGUAUUUCACCAGGUCAUUAUGCCUACAACAUACUCAUAUCUGCAGCAGCUAAAGAAGAAAUGGUUGGUGACGUAUUGCAUAUAUUUACAAAAAUGCGGCGGCAAGGACUGAACCCUGACGUUGUGACCUAUGGAGCGGUAAUAAACCUGCUUUCCGGUAUUGGCCGAAUGGAUGAUGCUAUGUCCUAAUUCAAUCAAAUGACAACAGAAGGAUUAGCUCCUGGUAUCAUAGUUUUCAACACCCUUAUUAGUGGUUUUUGUGCUUGUGGCAAAUGGGACAAGGUUCAUGAACUAUUUUCUGAAAUGUUGGAUCGUGGCAUCUAUCCUAAUACUGUGUUUUUCACCACAAUUAUGGACCGCCUUUGCAAAAAUGGAAGGGUUAUGGAAGCCCAAGAUAUCUUUGACCUGAUGGUACACAUGGGUGUUAAGCCUAAUGACACAUUGAUGCAUGGAUACUUUUCAGAUGGUAAGAUGGAUGAAGCGAGCAUGUUACUUGAGAAUAUGGUCUCAAUUGGCAUGGAACCAAAUGAUCAAAAAAUAAGACAUUCACGUGGCUAAAUGGAUCUAGGACAAUAGGUCAGUUGACAUUGUACUUUUACUACUAAUAUAUCCCUAAAGAUUUAAAAGCACAUCAUCCAUACAUGCCAACAACUCAACCUGAAGUCUGACCUGAUCUGCAUGUUCUGAAUGCGUUUGUGGCUUUGUUCCAAUGCAAAUCAUUAGCAAUUUAGCAUGUUCUUAUAGUGAGACGGGUAGCCAAAAACAAUGAUUCCAAAGCACACAGAAAAUCACUUCUCCAUCAAUGAAACCAUCCAUCGGUUACAUGAGGUCACUGCCUAAUUCCUUAUCAUUACUACUUCCGUGGAGCUGUUCAGUGUAGAUGCGAUGUUCGAAACCCUAAAGUUUGCUUGGGGGAGCUGCGUGUACUAACCUCUAUGACGAACGGCCUGACAGAAGCGUGCUCGUUUGCUGACACCGACUCCUGCUCCUCGCCGCUCGGGCCUCGGGCUGGGGGGAAACACGCAGCCGUGGGGAAAUCACACCGCUGUCAGCAUUCGGCAACCGGUUCCCAUCAACGAAACAAUGCGUCGCAUAUUCUCACCUGCUUCGUCCGCCGUCCGCGUCGACGGAGAGGCUGGCCGGAGGCGACGCGC